UUUGUUAUCGGGUAAAAUUUUUGUUUCGCAAUAUGUCGCUAAGAUAUUUCUUAUAUAGUAUCAUACAUUUAUGCGCUUUUUAUUUUCACCCAUUCUAAGCCGAACAAUUUUCUUUGUAAGAGUUAUCUCCCUAUUCACUGUUUAUCAAGUGUGUGCAUCUCCUUCGUAACAAAAA
Long non-coding RNA from Mytilus californianus (California mussel), 175 nucleotides. RefSeq lists it as uncharacterized. The record is from RefSeq and is a predicted model, not a curated record. The transcript has 2 exons. NCBI's taxonomy places the organism in Eukaryota, Metazoa, Mollusca, Bivalvia, Mytilida, Mytilidae.